Molecule: non-coding RNA, 289 nt
Organism: Pelobates cultripes (western spadefoot toad)
Lineage: Eukaryota; Metazoa; Chordata; Amphibia; Anura; Pelobatidae
Source: the annotation of a GenBank genome assembly
AGGAAAUGCUCAGGGGCAAUAUUGUCCCAAUAUUAAAACCGGAUAAGAACCCAGAGAAAGUAGAUAGCUAUCAGCCAAUUUUAAAUGUAGAUAUCAAGUUAUAUGCUGGAAUAUUGGCUGAGUCAAACAAAUAGUCACACACAUAAUACAUAGAGACCAGGUGGGAUUCAUUCCAGGACGACUUUCCAUUAACCAAAUAAGAAACAUGAUAGAGAUAAUGGAACAGGCAAGAGAGGAAUGUAUACCCAUGCUGACCCUGGGAUUAGAUGCAGAAAAAGCAUUCGACAGG